This 1354-nucleotide ribosomal RNA is filed under the name uncultured bacterium. RNAcentral describes it as "bacterial SSU rRNA". It matches the Rfam family "Bacterial small subunit ribosomal RNA", at positions 12 to 1360 of the family's 1533-position model. The record is from RNAcentral.
UUUGAUCGUGGCUCAGAUUGAACGCUGGCGGCAUGCUUUACUCAUGCAAGUCAAACGGCAGCACGGGAGCUUGCUCCUGGUGGCGAGUGGCGAACGGGUGAGUAACGCAUCGGAAUGUACCGUGUAGUGGGGGAUAGCUCGGCGAAAGCCGGAUUAAUACCGCAUACGACCUGAGGGUGAAAGUGGGGGACCGCGAGGCCUCACGCUAUACGAGCAGCCGAUGUCUGAUUAGCUAGUUGGUGAGGUAAGAGCUCACCAAGGCGACGAUCAGUAGCGGGUCUGAGAGGAUGAUCCGCCACACUGGGACUGAAACACGGCCCAGACUCCUACGGGAGGCAGCAGUGGGGAAUUUUGGACAAUGGGCGCAAGCCUGAUCCAGCCAUGCCGCGUGUCUGAAGAAGGCCUUCGGGUUGUAAAGGACUUUUGUUCGGGAGGAAAUCCCGCUGGUUAAUACCUGGCGGGGAUGACAGUACCGGAAGAAUAAUCACCGGCUAACUACGUGCCAGCAGCCGCGGUAAUACGUAGGGUGCAAGCGUUAAUCGGAAUUACUGGGCGUAAAGCGUGCGCAGGCGGUUUUGCAAGUCUGAUGUGAAAGCCCCGGGCUCAACCUGGGAACGGCAUUGGAGACUGCAAGACUAGAGUGCGUCAGAGGGGGGUAGAAUUCCGCGUGUAGCAGUGAAAUGCGUAGAGAUGCGGAGGAAUACCGAUGGCGAAGGCAGCCCCUUGGGAUGACACUGACGCUCAUGCACGAAAGCGUGGGGAGCAAACAGGAUUAGAUACCCUGGUAGUCCACGCCCUAAACGAUGUCAACUAGCUGUUGGGGGUUUGAAUCCUUGGUAGUGUAGCUAACGCGUGAAGUUGACCGCCUGGGGAGUACGGCCGCAAGGUUAAAACUCAAAGGAAUUGACGGGGACCCGCACAAGCGGUGGAUGAUGUGGAUUAAUUCGAUGCAACGCGAAAAACCUUACCUGCUCUUGACAUGUACGGAACUUGCCAGAGAUGGCUUGGUGCCCGAAAGGGAGCCGUAACACAGGUGUUGCAUGGCUGUCGUCAGCUCGUGUUGUGAGAUGUUGGGUUAAGUCCCGCAACGAGCGCAACCCUUGUCAUUAGUUGCCAUCAUUUAGUUGGGCACUCUAAUGAGACUGCCGGUGACAAACCGGAGGAAGGUGGGGAUGACGUCAAGUCCUCAUGGCCUUUAUGAGCAGGGUUUCACACGUCAUACAAUGGUCGGUACAGAGGGUCGGGAAGCCGCGAGGUGGAUCCAAUAUCAUAAAACCCAUCGUAGUCCGGAUCGCACUUUGCAACUCGAGUGCCAGAAGUCGGAAUCGCUAGUAAUCGCAGAUCAGCAUGAGGC